UCCGGUUUGACACCGGCAGUCUCGCUAGAGUCCCCGCCAUUACGCGUUGGCAACUAGCGACAGGGGUUGCGCUCGUUAAGGGACUUAACCCGACACUUCACAGCACGAGCUGACGACAGCCAUGCAGCACCUGUGUACGUUCCACCCGAGGGUGUGGCUCUACUUUCAUAAAGUUAAUCCGUACAUGUCAAGCCCAGGUAAGGUUCUUCGCGUUGCUUCGAAUUAAGCAACAUGCUCCACCGCUUGUGUGAGCCCCCGUCAAUUCCUUUGAGUUUUAGCCUUGCGACCGUACUUCCCAGGCGGCGCACUUAACAAUUUCUCUCCGACCGACACGGGGUCAAACCCGCGCCGAUCCAGUGCGCAUCGUUUAAGGCGUGGACUAC
Molecule: unclassified non-coding RNA, 383 nt
Filed under: uncultured Phycisphaeraceae bacterium
Lineage: Bacteria; Pseudomonadati; Planctomycetota; Phycisphaerae; Phycisphaerales; Phycisphaeraceae
Description: contains 16S-23S intergenic spacer region
Source: RNAcentral